AUACAGAUAAGCUCUAAGCAGCUGGUGAUAAUUACUUAUACAAUUAGGUAUUUAAUAAUAAAGCUAAAUAUAUAAUAUGUAUGUAUUCAUUUAAUGAGCCUUAGUUAGUCCUUAGCAUAAGACAAUCAGUAGGACAU
Long non-coding RNA from Bufo bufo (common toad), 137 nucleotides. RefSeq lists it as uncharacterized. The transcript has 3 exons. The record is from RefSeq and is a predicted model, not a curated record. NCBI's taxonomy places the organism in Eukaryota, Metazoa, Chordata, Amphibia, Anura, Bufonidae.